Long non-coding RNA from Papaver somniferum (opium poppy), 145 nucleotides. RefSeq lists it as uncharacterized. The record is from RefSeq and is a predicted model, not a curated record. Lineage: Eukaryota; Viridiplantae; Streptophyta; Magnoliopsida; Ranunculales; Papaveraceae. The transcript is spliced from 3 exons.
UAGAUUAGUUUUCUGCUCCUGAAAUCAUCAGAAAGGUGUUUCCUUAUAUAUUUUUUGCCUGCAAAAUCAAGUCUUCAAGUGGGUUGAAGAUCUCUUCUCCUAGUCUCGAGUUAUCACGGACAGAGAAACUGGGAGGUCAAUGGGC